Molecule: ribosomal RNA, 317 nt
Filed under: uncultured Agaricales
Lineage: Eukaryota; Fungi; Basidiomycota; Agaricomycetes; Agaricales
Description: partial large subunit ribosomal RNA
Rfam family: Eukaryotic large subunit ribosomal RNA
Source: RNAcentral
GUAUCAAUGAGCGGAGGAAAAGAAACUAACAAGGAUUCCCCUAGUAACUGCGAGUGAAGCGGGAAAAGCUCAAAUUUAAAAUCUGGCGGUCAUUGGCCGUCCGAGUUGUAAUCUAGAGAAGUGCUGCCCGCGCUGGACCGUGUACAAGUCUCCUGGGAUGGAGCGUCAUAGAGGGUGAGAAUCCCGUCUCUGACACGGACUACCAGGGCUUUGUGGUACGCUCUCAAAGAGUCGAGUUGUUUGGGAAUGCAGCUCAAAAUGGGUGGUAAAUUCCAUCUAAAGCUAAAUAUUGGCGAGAGACCGAUAGCGCACAAGUA